GCAGGUGCAUGCCUCUAGCAUGAAUUCAGACAAGUGAACCCGCUGAACUUAAGCA
This 55-nucleotide ribosomal RNA is filed under the name Cladocopium sp. C1. RNAcentral's name for it is "partial 28S ribosomal RNA". Lineage: Eukaryota; Dinophyceae; Suessiales; Symbiodiniaceae. The record is from RNAcentral.